RNAcentral lists this long non-coding RNA (440 nucleotides) under Nicotiana benthamiana. RNAcentral describes it as "long non-coding RNA (NBEN_LNC005339)". Lineage: Eukaryota; Viridiplantae; Streptophyta; Magnoliopsida; Solanales; Solanaceae. The record is from RNAcentral.
AAGAAACCACCCGAAAUCAGCAGAAAAACUCUCAAAAUGUUCGGGUGAAGAAAAUACACUCAGAUAUCAUGACGAAAAACUCGGAAAAGCAUCCGAUCUAGGUCAGAAGCAUCAUUGACCAUAAGGUCUCAGAAAAAUCCCCAAAAAAUCUCAAAAAGAGUUCAACCAAGACAACGAGAUGUAGAGAAAAGUAGUCGAAUCGUCAUCUAGGCUCUGAUACCAUGUUAACAUUCAGAUUAAACUCUCAAAAAGAGUUCAACCAAGACAACAAGAUGUAGAGAUACAUAAUCGGAUCGUCGUCUAGGCUCUGAUACCAUGUAAAUAUUGAUAUUAGACCGAGAAAUUAUGGAAAAUGUAGAGAGAGAAAGUAGAGAGAAGAUAGAGCGUUUGGAACUCUCUAGAAUAGGGAGAGAGUUUAUACAGAGAAAAUAAUGUUGAAA